UAAGUGUUUAAGGGCGCAUGGUGGAUGCCUUGGCACUGGGAGCCGAUGAAGGACGUGGGAGGCUGCGAUAUGCCUCGGGGAGCUGUCAACCGAGCGUGGAUCCGAGGAUGUCCGAAUGGGGAAACCCGGCACGAGUGAUGUCGUGUCACCCAACGCUGAAUGUAUAGGCGUUGGGGGGGAACGCGGGGAAGUGAAACAUCUCAGUACCCGUAGGAAGAGAAAACAAUUGUGAUUCCGUGAGUAGUGGCGAGCGAAAGCGGAGGAUGGCUAAACCGUAUGCAUGUGAUACCGGGUAGGGGUUGUGUGUGCGGGGUUGUGGGAUCCAUCUGUCCAGGUCUACUCACCUGGAGGGUAGUGAGAAAAUGUUGUGGUUAGCGGAAGUGGCUUGGGAUGGCCUGCCGUAGACGGUGAGAGCCCGGUACGUGAAAACCUGACAUCUGCCUUGGAUGGUGUUCCCGAGUAGCAGCGGGCCCGUGGAAUCUGCUGUGAAUCUGCCGGGACCACCCGGUAAGCCUGAAUACUUCCCAGUGACCGAUAGCGGAUUAGUACCGUGAGGGAAUGGUGAAAAGUACCCCGGGAGGGGAGUGAAAGAGUACCUGAAACCGUGCGCUUACAAUCCGUCAGAGCCCUCGCUUUUGUGUGGGGUGAUGGCGUGCCUUUUGAAGAAUGAGCCUGCGAGUCAGGGACAUGUCGCGAGGUUAACCCGGGUGGGGUAGCCGCAGCGAAAGCGAGUCUGAAUAGGGCGUAUCCAAUCCGUUGGGGUUGGUGUAGUGGUGUGUUCUGGACCCGAAGCGGAGUGAUCUACCCAUGGCCAGGGUGAAGCGCGGGUAAGACCGUGUGGAGGCCCGAACCCACUUAGGUUGAAGACUGAGGGGAUGAGCUGUGGGUAGGGGUGAAAGGCCAAUCAAACUCCGUGAUAGCUGGUUCUCCCCGAAAUGCAUUUAGGUGCAGCGUCACAUGUUUCUUGUUGGAGGUAGAGCUACUGGAUGGCCGAUGGGCCCUACUAGGUUACUGACGUCAGCCAAACUCCGAAUGCCGACAAGUCUAAGAGUGUGGCAGUGAGACGGCGGGGGAUAAGCUCCGUGCGUCGAGAGGGAAACAGCCCAGAUCGCCGGCUAAGGCCCCUAAGCGUGUGCUAAGUGGAAAAGGAUGUGCAGUCGCGAAGACAACCAGGAGGUUGGCUUAGAAGCAGCCACCCUUGAAAGAGUGCGUAAUAGCUCACUGGUCAAGUGAUUGUGCGCCGAUAAUGUAGCGGGGCUCAAGCACACCGCCGAAGCCGCGGCAACGAUCUUGUGUCGUUGGGUAGGGGAGCGUCCUGCAUCCGGUGAAGCCGCCGAGUGAUCGAGUGGUGGAGGGUGUGGGAGUGAGAAUGCAGGCAUGAGUAGCGAUUAGGCAAGUGAGAACCUUGCCCGCCGAAAGACCAAGGGUUCCUGGGCCAGGCCAGUCCGCCCAGGGUGAGUCGGGACCUAAGGCGAGGCCGACAGGCGUAGUCGAUGGACAACGGGUUGAUAUUCCCGUACCCGUGUAUGUGCGUCCCUGAUGAAUCAGCGGUACUAACCAUCCAAAACCACCGUGACCAAUCCCUUCGGGGUGCGGCGUUGGUGGGGCUGCAUGGGAUCUUCGUUGGUAGUAGUCAAGCGAUGGGGUGACGCAGGAAGGUAGCCGUACCAGUCAGUGGUUGUACUGGGGUAAGCCGGUAGGGCGAAACGUAGGCAAAUCCGCGUUUCAUNNNNNNNNNNNNNNNNNNNNNNNNNNNNNNNNNNNNNNNNNNNNNNNNNNNNNNNNNNNNNNNNNNNNNNNNNNNNNNNNNNNNNNNNNNNNNNNNNNNNCAGCCUGAGAGGUGAUGCAUAGCCGUUUGAGGCGAAUUCGGUGAUCCUAUGCUGCCAAGAAAAGCCUCUAGCGAGGACAUACACGGCCCGUACCCCAAACCAACACAGGUGGUCAGGUAGAGAAUACUAAGGCGUACGAGUGAACUAUGGUUAAGGAACUCGGCAAAAUGCCCCCGUAACUUCGGGAGAAGGGGGACCCCCACACCGUCAACACCCUUGCGGUGGGUAGCGGUAGGGGGUGGCACAAACCAGUGAGAAGCGACUGUUUACUAAAAACACAGGUCCGUGCGAAGUCGCAAGACGAGGUAUACGGACUGACGCCUGCCCGGUGCUGGAAGGUUAAGAGGACCCGUUAACCCCUUGGGGUGAAGCGGAGAAUUUAAGCCCCAGUAAACGGCGGUGGUAACUAUAACCAUCCUAAGGUAGCGAAAUUCCUUGUCGGGUAAGUUCCGACCUGCACGAAUGGCGUAACGACUUCUCAACUGUCUCAACCAUAGACUCGGCGAAAUUGCACUACGAGUAAAGAUGCUCGUUACGCGCGGCAGGACGAAAAGACCCCGGGACCUUCACUACAACUUGGUAUUGGUGCUCGAUACGGUUUGUGUAGGAUAGGUGGGAGACUGUGAAACACUGACGCCAGUUAGUGUGGAGUCGUUGUUGAAAUACCACUCUGAUCGUAUUGGGCCUCUAACCUCGAACCCUGAACCGGGUUCAGGGACAGUGCCUGGCGGGUAGUUUAACUGGGGCGGUUGCCUCCUAAAAUGUAACGGAGGCGCCCAAAGGUUCCCUCAACCUGGACGGCAAUCAGGUGUUGAGUGUAAGUGCACAAGGGAGCUUGACUGCGAGACGUACAUGUCAAGCAGGGACGAAAGUCGGGACUAGUGAUCCGGCACCUCUGAGUGGAAGGGGUGUCGCUCAACGGAUAAAAGGUACCCCGGGGAUAACAGGCUGAUCUUCCCCAAGAGUCCAUAUCGACGGGAUGGUUUGGCACCUCGAUGUCGGCUCGUCGCAUCCUGGGGCUGGAGCAGGUCCCAAGGGUUGGGCUGUUCGCCCAUUAAAGCGGCACGCGAGCUGGGUUUAGAACGUCGUGAGACAGUUCGGUCUCUAUCCGCCGCGCGCGUCAGAAGCUUGAGGAAACCUGUCCCUAGUACGAGAGGACCGGGACGGACGAACCUCUGGUCUACCAGUUGUCCCACCAGGGGCACCGCUGGAUCGCCACGUUCGGACAGGAUAACCGCUGAAAGCAUCUAAGCGGGAAACCCCCUCCAAGACCAGGCUUCUCACCCUUUUAGAGGGAUAAGGCCCCCCGCAGACCACGGGAUCGAUAGACCAGACCUACACGCACAGCAAUGUGUUCAGGGAACUGGCACUAACCGGCCGAAAACUU
Molecule: ribosomal RNA, 3216 nt
Filed under: Mycolicibacterium mageritense
Lineage: Bacteria; Bacillati; Actinomycetota; Actinomycetes; Mycobacteriales; Mycobacteriaceae
Description: 23S ribosomal RNA
Rfam family: Bacterial large subunit ribosomal RNA
Source: RNAcentral